This 382-nucleotide ribosomal RNA is filed under the name Enterobacter cancerogenus. RNAcentral's name for it is "bacterial SSU rRNA". It matches the Rfam family "Bacterial small subunit ribosomal RNA", at positions 958 to 1340 of the family's 1533-position model. The record is from RNAcentral. Lineage: Bacteria; Pseudomonadati; Pseudomonadota; Gammaproteobacteria; Enterobacterales; Enterobacteriaceae.
AACGAGAAGAACCUUACCUACUCUUGACAUCCAGAGAACUUAGCAGAGAUGCUUUGGUGCCUUCGGGAACUCUGAGACAGGUGCUGCAUGGCUGUCGUCAGCUCGUGUUGUGAAAUGUUGGGUUAAGUCCCGCAACGAGCGCAACCCUUAUCCUUUGUUGCCAGCGGUCMGGCCGGGAACUCAAAGGAGACUGCCAGUGAUAAACUGGAGGAAGGUGGGGAUGACGUCAAGUCAUCAUGGCCCUUACGAGUAGGGCUACACACGUGCUACAAUGGCGCAUACAAAGAGAAGCGACCUCGCGAGAGCAAGCGGACCUCAUAAAGUGCGUCGUAGUCCGGAUUGGAGUCUGCAACUCGAGUCCAUGAAGUCGGAAUCGCUAGUA